ACUUAAAUAAUUUAAAAUAAAAUAUUGAUUUGUGGUUUCAAAAAUAUGAUAUAGUCCUUUUAAGUU
RNAcentral lists this transfer RNA (66 nucleotides) under Ostrinia penitalis. Its description in RNAcentral is "tRNA-His". The record is from RNAcentral. Lineage: Eukaryota; Metazoa; Arthropoda; Insecta; Lepidoptera; Crambidae.